UACGAAGGGUGCAAGCGUUACUCGGAAUUACUGGGCGUAAAGCGUGCGUAGGUGGUUUGUUAAGUCUGAUGUGAAAGCCCUGGGCUCAACCUGGGAAUUGCAUUGGAUACUGGCAGGCUAGAGUGCGGUAGAGGGUAGUGGAAUUCCCGGUGUAGCAGUGAAAUGCGUAGAGAUCGAGAGGAACACCAGUGGCGAAGGCGACUACCUGGACCAGCACUGACACUGAGGCACGAAAGCAUGGGGAGCAAACAGG
RNAcentral lists this ribosomal RNA (253 nucleotides) under uncultured bacterium. RNAcentral's name for it is "partial 16S ribosomal RNA". It matches the Rfam family "Bacterial small subunit ribosomal RNA", at positions 524 to 776 of the family's 1533-position model. The record is from RNAcentral.